UUCGGCCUGAUGUUUUUGAUUUGGUUUAUGACUUGGGGUCAACACACCUGAGUGUACUAGGAAGAGGUGACUGUACGCUGGUCUUCCAGUACGACCAUAUCCUCAAUGCCGCGUUUCCCAAAGAAUACUGCAAUCAUUCUUUUUGUUUACAGAUCGAGACUUCCACACCUCCACUGGAGCAUCCUCAUCCUCAAACAGCCAGAUCUUGUUUCGUGAUUUUGUUUGAACGUCGUAAUAAUUCAGCCAGGUUUCGUCGCCCUGUUAGAAUACUAUUUACAUCCCGAGAAGAUACCGAUUCAAAUCUUUUUAGCAUUUUUUGGCACAACCUCACUCUCGCUGUCAUUUGCUCCUCGGUCAAAGCAUUGUGGUACCCAUAGAAUACAAACCUUCCUAACAUUUAAAUGUUCAUGCAGAAUUCGAUGGACUGCUGGUGCACUAAUGUGUAAAGUUUGCUCUAUCUGCCGGCACUGUCUGCCGGCAGUAGAUUAUUCACAGACGCAAUGUUUUCCGAUGUCACCAAUCCCGCCGGUCGACCUGAACGCGAGUCGUCAGCGAGACCGAAAUUUCCUCUUUCGAACUGUUUGUACCAUCCGAAAAUUGUUGUGAGAUGCGGACAAUCCUUACCCAAUACCGCAAACAUUUCCUCAAAACUUUAGUCUACACUUAAACCGCGAGAAAAGUUGUAUCGAAUAAUCGGAAGAUAUUCUUCCUUUGUCCACGACGCCAUUUCUGAAUCGUUCCGGGCUGCGUGCUUAGACUGUACUGAGACCUGAGUAAACAUAAUCCCGCUUGCCGUAUGGACGCAGCGACGGGCAAGACGGAAGAAGAGCGUCAGACGAGUGCACAAAUCUUUUCCUUUUUGAUUGAUAUAGGAUCCGAUAUUAAUAUUAUCAAACUAAAUUCGUUAAAUGAAAAACUAUUUGUAAAUGAAGAUGAAUCUAUAGACAUAACGAAAUUGACUCAGAAUAGAUUUUCCACUAUAGGCACAUUUAAACUACGCUUAGAAAAAUCCAUGGUAGAUUUUCAUGUUGUCUCUCCAGAUUUUUCUCUUGCUACAGAUGGAAUUCUAGGAAGAGGAUACCUCUGACAAGAAAAGGUUAAAAUUUCAUUUUGGUUUAAUUGUAUAAUUACCCAUUCAAAACCUUUGAAGCCGAUUCCUUUCAUUGAUAACGAGUCAAAAGUCGCGCAGGAUCAGAUAACUGAUUAUAAAGGAGCAGGCUUAAAACAAAAACUCAAUAUAAAAGCCACCGAGAAAUCUGAACUAGACAGUGAAGCGGAAUUCGAUGAAAAAUUAAAUUCAAUUAUAAACCAGAAUGAAAAUGAACCAGAUGAACCUAAAAUUCCAGAACUAUUAUACGAAAGAAAUAAAAAAGAAAAUACAAAUGCAAGUAUUCCAGAACAAAUAAAAUCUGUUUCAAACGUAAAAUUUUCAAUAAAACAAAAGGGCGAGGAAUUACAUCAAGCAAAAGCACCCAUCAGUCAUUUAAACUAUCGUGAGAGGUAAGGGGACUCACGAUAAACAAGCACCUCAUCGUGAGAGGCAAGGGGACUCACGAUAAUCAAGCACCCCAAAGGGAACAGAAUUUCCUACUUUCAUGUCGUUCCUCGGUAACGCUAAAAAAAUUGUUUUCUGAUACUCAACAAUGGGACGCAAGCGAAAACACUAGCUCAAUCUUUUGAAGUUUCUCCAAGAAAACUACAAUUUUAAUUAAAGAGGCAGCUCAAAACUGUUCCCAUUUCGAGGCUAAUGAGAUCAAGAAGAAUUUCAAGAGCAUAUGGAGGAGGUUUUACGCUACACGAACAAAAGAUGCUGAGGAGGGAAGUCGACCGACUCUCACAGGAGGUGCCUAAAAAUGAGGAUUUUGGAGAGCCCUUACAGACAGACGACGAAUAUUUUGCCGACGAUGAAGUUUAGGAUUGAUUAUGUUUUUUUAUUAUAUUAACUAACGUAAAGUACUCUUCAGUUUUUUAAAGCCUUAUAACUCAUAAAAUUGAUAUUAUUGGCAAUUUUAUUCAUUGUUAAUAUUUAUAUUAAUUUAUCUUCAUAAAUAAGUGUUAAUUUUUCUUCAACCUUUGUGAAAAAAAUCGAAAAUGGUUCAGUUUAUUUGAAAAUAUGA
Molecule: long non-coding RNA, 2117 nt
Organism: Belonocnema kinseyi
Lineage: Eukaryota; Metazoa; Arthropoda; Insecta; Hymenoptera; Cynipidae
Exons: 4
Source: RefSeq, a predicted model, not a curated record